AACGACUCUCGGCAACGGAUAUCUCGGCUCUCGCAUCGAUGAAGAACGUAGCGAAAUGCGAUACUUGGUGUGAAUUGCAGAAUCCCGUGAACCAUCGAGUCUUUGAACGCAAGUUGCGCCCGAGGCCAUUCGGCUGAGGGCACGUCUGCCUGGGCGUCACGC
This 162-nucleotide ribosomal RNA is filed under the name Lavandula stoechas. RNAcentral's name for it is "5.8S ribosomal RNA". It matches the Rfam family "5.8S ribosomal RNA". Rfam says of the family: 5.8S ribosomal RNA (5.8S rRNA) is a component of the large subunit of the eukaryotic ribosome. It is transcribed by RNA polymerase I as part of the 45S precursor that also contains 18S and 28S rRNA. Lineage: Eukaryota; Viridiplantae; Streptophyta; Magnoliopsida; Lamiales; Lamiaceae. The record is from RNAcentral.